GAUGAAGAACGUAGCGAAAUGCGAUAAGUAAUGUGAAUUGCAGAAUUCAGUGAAUCAUCGAAUCUUUGAACGCACAUUGCGCCCGCCAGUAUUCUGGCGGGCAUGCCUGUCCGAGCGUCAUUUCAACCCUCGGGACCCUUCGGGGAACCGGUGUUGGGGACCCGUCCGCCGACCCACGGCGGCCGGCCCCGAAAUACAGUGGCGGCCCUGCGGCGACCUCCUCUGCGUAGUAGCGAUACCUCGCAGCUGGAAAGCGGCAGCGGCCACGCUGUAAAACCCCCACUUCUAUGGUUGACCUCGGAUCAGGUAGGAAUACCCGCUGAACUUAAGCAUAUCAAUAAGCGGAGGA
Molecule: unclassified non-coding RNA, 349 nt
Filed under: soil metagenome
Description: partial contains 5.8S ribosomal RNA, internal transcribed spacer 2, and large subunit ribosomal RNA
Rfam family: 5.8S ribosomal RNA (bases 1-120)
Source: RNAcentral